GGACUACAAGGGUAUCUAAUCCCGUUUGCUCCCCUGGCUUUCGCGCCUCAGCGUCAGUGUUGGCCCAGCAACCCGUCUUCACCUCAGGUGUUCCUCUUGAUAUCUACGCAUUUCACCGCUACACCAAGAAUUCCGAUUGCCCCUUCCACACUCUAGCACUGCAGUAUCACUUGGCCGUUCUGAGUUAAGCCCGGAGAUUUCACAGCUGACUUGAAUUGCCGCCUACGCGCCCUUUACGCCCAGUAAAUCCGAACAACGCUUGGUCCCUACGUAUUACCGCGGCUGCUGACAC
This 292-nucleotide unclassified non-coding RNA is filed under the name uncultured fungus. Its description in RNAcentral is "sequence contains ITS1". Lineage: Eukaryota; Fungi. The record is from RNAcentral.